RNAcentral lists this ribosomal RNA (501 nucleotides) under uncultured bacterium. Its description in RNAcentral is "bacterial SSU rRNA". It matches the Rfam family "Bacterial small subunit ribosomal RNA", at positions 8 to 507 of the family's 1533-position model. The record is from RNAcentral.
AGAGUUUGAUCAUGGCUCAGAUUGAACGCUGGCGGAAUGCUUUACACAUGCAAGUCGAACGGCAGCACGGGGCAACCUGGUGGCGAGUGGCGAACGGGUGAGUAAUACAUCGGAACGUGCCCAAUCGUGGGGGAUAACGUAGCGAAAGUUACGCUAAUACCGCAUACGAUCUACGGAUGAAAGCGGGGGAUCGCAAGACCUCGCGCGAGUGGAGCGGCCGAUGUCAGAUUAGGUAGUUGGUGGGGUAAAGGCUCACCAAGCCAACGAUCUGUAGCUGGUCUGAGAGGACGACCAGCCACACUGGAACUGAGACACGGUCCAGACUCCUACGGGAGGCAGCAGUGGGGAAUUUUGGACAAUGGGCGCAAGCCUGAUCCAGCCAUUCCGCGUGCAGGAUGAAGGCUUCGGGUUGUAAACUGCUUUUGUACGGAACGAAACGGCGAGCUCUAAUACAGUUUGCUAAUGACGGUACCGUAAGAAUAAGCACCGGCUAACUACGUG